GAUGAACGCUGGCGGCGUGCCUAAUACAUGCAAGUCGAGCGAACAGACGAGGAGCUUGUUCGGUUGACGUUAGGGGCGGGGGGGUGAGUCACACGUGGAUAACCUACCUAUCAGUCUGGGAUAACUACGGGAAACCGGCGCUUAUACCGGAUAAUAUCUUGAACCGCAGGGUUCAAUAGUGAAAGUCGGUUUUGCUGUCACUUAUCGAUGGAUCCGAGCCGCAUUAGCUAGUUGUUAAGGUCACGGCUUACCAAGGCAAGGAUGCGUAGGCGACGUGAGAGGGUGAUAGGCGGCACGAGAGCUGAGACACGGUCCAGAGGACUGCGGGACGCAGCAGAAGGGUAUGGUCCGCAGUGGGCGAGAGUAUGACGGAGUGACGCGGCGUGAGUGAUGAAAGUGUUCGGAUCGUAAUGCUCGGUUAUUAGUGAAAAACAGAUGUGUAAGUAGCUGUGCACGGCUUGACGGUAACUGAUCAAAAAGCCACGGCUAACUACGUG
This 497-nucleotide ribosomal RNA is filed under the name uncultured bacterium. Its description in RNAcentral is "partial 16S ribosomal RNA". It matches the Rfam family "Bacterial small subunit ribosomal RNA", at positions 28 to 507 of the family's 1533-position model. The record is from RNAcentral.